AGUGAACGCUGGCGGUAGGCCUAACACAUGCAAGUCGAACGGCAGCACAGUAAGAGCUUGCUCUUACGGGUGGCGAGUGGCGGACGGGUGAGGAAUACAUCGGAAUCUACUUUUUCGUGGGGGAUAACGUAGGGAAACUUACGCUAAUACCGCAUACGACCUACGGGUGAAAGCAGGGGAUCUUCGGACCUUGCGCGAUUGAAUGAGCCGAUGUCGGAUUAGCUAGUUGGCGGGGUAAAGGCCCACCAAGGCGACGAUCCGUAGCUGGUCUGAGAGGAUGAUCAGCCACACUGGAACUGAGACACGGUCCAGACUCCUACGGGAGGCAGCAGUGGGGAAUAUUGGACAAAGGGCGCAAGCCUGUUCCAGCCAUACCGCGUGGGUGAAGAAGGCCUUCGGGUUGUAAAGCCCUUUUGUUGGGAAAGAAAAGCAGCAGGUUAAUACCCCGCUGUUCUGACGGUACCCAAAGAAUAAGCACCGGCUAACUUCGUG
RNAcentral lists this ribosomal RNA (492 nucleotides) under uncultured bacterium. RNAcentral describes it as "partial 16S ribosomal RNA". It matches the Rfam family "Bacterial small subunit ribosomal RNA", at positions 29 to 507 of the family's 1533-position model. The record is from RNAcentral.